Long non-coding RNA from Hemicordylus capensis (graceful crag lizard), 486 nucleotides. RefSeq lists it as uncharacterized. The record is from RefSeq and is a predicted model, not a curated record. The transcript has 3 exons. NCBI's taxonomy places the organism in Eukaryota, Metazoa, Chordata, Lepidosauria, Squamata, Cordylidae.
CUGGCAGCCAGUUCCCCCUCCUCUUUGCAGCCUUGCAGUCUGCAGAGAGGAUGUCAACGUUUAUGUCUGAAUUCGGACAGAUUGAUUGCAGUAUCUAUGCCAGUAAUAUCUGCCCCCUGCUGUACCGGCCCCUUUGUGGUUCUGAUGGCAAAACAUAUGACAACCCAUGCGUGUUCUGUAACACAGUCACAAGUCAUGGAUCACUAGUGCUGAGACACAAAGGGGAGUGUUAGAACUCAGCUGAACUUCAACAAGACCAAGGAACAUCCACUAAAGACGUUCUGCCCAGAGAUGCAAGUUUUGGGCAGUAUAGAAAUGUAAAUAAAUAAAAUCCAUGUCUCUUCAUGCUUCAGCAUUCAUUGAAAAUUGAAAAUUGUGUCGCAACAGAAAAACCAAUAUUAAAGAAAAAUCAAUAUUAUCCUUGUGGCUAAUGAAAACCUUGCAAUAUUUUAACGCAUUUUAUCAAUAAAGUAAAUUACGCAUUAU